GAUGAACGCUGGCGGCGUGCCUAAUACAUGCAAGUCGAGCGAACGGACGAGAAGCUUGCUUCUCUGAUGUUAGCGGCGGACGGGUGAGUAACACGUGGAUAACCUACCUAUAAGACUGGGAUAACUUCGGGAAACCGUAGCUAAUACCGGAUAAUAUUUUGAACCGCAUGGUUCAAAAGUGAAAGACGGUCUUGCUGUCACUUAUAGAUGGAUCCGCGCUGCAUUAGCUAGUUGGUAAGGUAACGGCUUACCAAGGCAACGAUGCAUAGCCGACCUGAGAGGGUGAUCGGCCACACUGGAACUGAGACACGGUCCAGACUCCUACGGGAGGCAGCAGUAGGGAAUCUUCCGCAAAGGGCGAAAGCCUGACGGAGCAACGCCGCGUGAGUGAUGAAGGUCUUCGGAUCGUAAAACUCUGUUAUUAGGGAAGAACAUAUGUGUAAGUAACUGCGCACAUCUUGACGGUACCUAAUCAGAAAGCCACGGCUAACUACGUG
Molecule: ribosomal RNA, 497 nt
Filed under: uncultured bacterium
Lineage: Bacteria
Description: partial 16S ribosomal RNA
Rfam family: Bacterial small subunit ribosomal RNA
Source: RNAcentral